This 422-nucleotide ribosomal RNA is filed under the name uncultured archaeon. Its description in RNAcentral is "partial 16S ribosomal RNA". It matches the Rfam family "Archaeal small subunit ribosomal RNA", at positions 323 to 746 of the family's 1478-position model. The record is from RNAcentral.
CUACGGGGGGCAGCAGGCGAGAAAACUUUGCAAUGUGCGAAAGCACGACAAGGUUAAUCCGAGUGGUUUCUGCUAAAGGAACCUUUUGACAGUCCUAGAAACACUGUUGAAUAAGGGGUGGGCAAGUUCUGGUGUCAGCCGCCGCGGUAAAACCAGCACCUCAAGUGGUCAGGAUGAUUAUUGGGCCUAAAGCAUCCGUAGCCGGCUCUGUUAGUUUUCGGUUAAAUCUGUACGCUCAACGUACAGGCUGCCGGGAAUACUGCAGAGCUAGGGAGUGGGAGAGGUAGACGGUACUCGGUAGGAAGGGGUAAAAUCCUUUGAUCUAUUGAUGACCACCUGUGGCGAAGGCGGUCUACCAGAACACGUCCGACGGUGAGGGAUGAAAGCUGGGGGAGCAAACCGGAUUAGAUACCCCCGUAGUC